CUACGGGAUGCACCAGUGGGGAAUAUUGGACAAUGGGGGAAACCCUGAUCCAGCAAUGCCGCGUGUGUGAAGAAGGCCUGCGGGUUGUAAAGCACUUUCGGUUGGGAGGACUGCUUCUAGCACUAAUAUUGUUGGAAGUUGACGUUACCUUCAGAAGAAGCACCGGCUAACUCCGUGCCAGCAGCCGCGGUAAUACGGAGGGUGCAUGCGUUAAUCGGAAUUACUGGGCGUAAAGCGCGCGUAGGCGGCUAGAUCAGUCGGGUGUGAAAGCCCCGGGCUUAACCUGGGAACUGCAUCCGAUACUGUCUAGCUUGAGUACAGGAGAGGAGAGUGGAAUUCCACAUGUAGCGAUGAAAUGCGUAGAUAUGUGGAGGAACACCAAUGGCGAAGGCAGCUCUCUGGCCUGAUACUGACGCUGAGGUGCGAAAGCGUGGGGAGCAAACAGGAUUAGAUACCCCCGUAGUC
This 465-nucleotide ribosomal RNA is filed under the name uncultured bacterium. RNAcentral describes it as "partial 16S ribosomal RNA". It matches the Rfam family "Bacterial small subunit ribosomal RNA", at positions 339 to 795 of the family's 1533-position model. The record is from RNAcentral.